Molecule: ribosomal RNA, 370 nt
Filed under: uncultured bacterium
Lineage: Bacteria
Description: bacterial SSU rRNA
Rfam family: Bacterial small subunit ribosomal RNA
Source: RNAcentral
UACGUAGGUGGCAAGCGUUGUCCGGAAUUAUUGGGCGUAAAGAGUGCGUAGGCGGUCUAUUAAGUCUGGUUUGAAAGCCCAUGGCUUAACCAUGGAGGGUGACUGGAAACUGGUAGACUUGAGUAUAGGAGAGGAAAGUGGAAUUCCACGUGUAGCGGUGAAAUGCGUAGAUAUGUGGAGGAACACCGGUGGCGAAGGCGGCUUUCUGGCCUAUUACUGACGCUAAUGCACGAAAGCGUGGGUAGCAAACAGGAUUAGAUAGCCUGGUAGUCCACGCCGUAAACGAUGAGUACUAAGUGUUGGGGGAAACCUCGGUGCUGAAGUUAACGCAUUAAGUACUCCGCCUGGGAAGUACGGUCGCAAGACUGAA